Molecule: ribosomal RNA, 829 nt
Filed under: uncultured bacterium
Lineage: Bacteria
Description: bacterial SSU rRNA
Rfam family: Bacterial small subunit ribosomal RNA
Source: RNAcentral
AUGCAAGUCGAGCGGCAGCGCGGGGGCAACCCUGGCGGCGAGCGGCGGACGGGUGAGGAACACAUCGGAAUCUACCUUGUCGUGGGGGAUAACGUAGGGAAACUUACGCUAAUACCGCAUACGACCUACGGGUGAAAGCGGCGGACCGCAAGGCGUCGCGCGAUUGGAUGAGCCGAUGUCCGAUUAGCUAGUUGGCGGGGUAAAGGCCCACCAAGGCGACGAUCGGUAGCUGGUCUGAGAGGACGACCAGCCACACUGGAACUGAGACACGGUCCAGACUCCUACGGGAGGCAGCAGUGGGGAAUAUUGGACAAUGGGCGCAAGCCUGAUCCAGCCAUGCCGCGUGGGUGAAGAAGGCCUUCGGGUUGUAAAGCCCUUUUGUCCGGAAAGAAAAGCAUUCGGUUAAUACCCGGGUGUGAUGACGGUACCGGAAGAAUAAGCACCGGCUAACUUCGUGCCAGCAGCCGCGGUAAUACGAAGGGUGCAAGCGUUACUCGGAAUUACUGGGCGUAAAGCGUGCGUAGGUGGUUCGUUAAGUCUGUCGUGAAAUCCCCGGGCUCAACCUGGGAAUGGCGAUGGAUACUGGCGGGCUAGAGUGCGGUAGAGGAGAGUGGAAUUCCCGGCGUAGCAGUGAAAUGCGUAGAGAUCGGGAGGAACAUCAGUUGCGAAGGCGGCUCUCUGGACCAGCACUGACACUGAGGCACGAAAGCGUGGGGAGCAAACAGGAUUAGAUACCCUGGUAGUCCACGCCCUAAACGAUGCGAACUGGACGUUGGAUGCAACUAGGCAUUCAGUGUCGAAGCUAACGCGUUAAGUUCGCCGCCUGGGG